UGAACGCUGGCGUCGUGCCUAAUACAUGCAAGUCGAGCGAACAGACGAGGAGCUUGCUCCUCUGACGUUAGCGGCGGACGGGUGAGUAACACAUGGAUAACCUACCUAUAAGACUGGGAUAACUUCGGGAAACCGGAGCUAAUACCGGAUAAUAUAUUGAACCGCAUGGUUCAAUAGUGAAAGACGGUUUUGCUGUCACUUAUAGAUGGAUCCGCGCCGCAUUAGCUAGUUGGUAAGGUAACGGCUUACCAAGGCAACGAUGCGUAGCCGACCUGAGAGGGUGAUCGGCCACACUGGAACUGAGACACGGUCCAGACUCCUACGGGAGGCAGCAGUAGGGAAUCUUCCGCAAUGGGCGAAAGCCUGACGGAGCAACGCCGCGUGAGUGAUGAAGGUCUUCGGAUCGUAAAACUCUGUUAUUAGGGAAGAACAAAUGUGUAAGUAACUAUGCACGUCUUGACGGUACCUAAUCAGAAAGCCACGGCUAACUACGUG
RNAcentral lists this ribosomal RNA (495 nucleotides) under uncultured bacterium. RNAcentral describes it as "partial 16S ribosomal RNA". It matches the Rfam family "Bacterial small subunit ribosomal RNA", at positions 30 to 507 of the family's 1533-position model. The record is from RNAcentral.